GAUGAAGAACGUAGCGAAAUGCGAUACGUAAUGUGAAUUGCAGAAUUCAGUGAAUCAUCGAAUCUUUGAACGCAUAUUGCGCUCUCUGGUAUUCCGGAGAGCAUGCUUGUUUGAGUAUCAGUAAACACCUCAACUUCCAUAUCUUUUUUGAAAUGGGAGUUGGACUUGAGUGAUCCCAACGCUUUUCCUCACCGAAAAGUGGCGGGUUACUUGAAAUGCAGGUGCAGCUGGACUUUUCUCUGAGCUAUAAGCAUAUCUAUUUAGUCUGCCUAAAAAACAGAUUAUUACCUUUGCUGCAGCUAACAUAAAGGAGAUUAGUUCUUGUGCUGACUGAUGCAGGAUUCACAAAGACGGCUUCGGCCGACUUUGUAAACUCGAUCUCAAAUCAAGUAAGACUACCCGCCGAACUUAAGCAUAUCAAUAAGCGGAGGA
RNAcentral lists this unclassified non-coding RNA (432 nucleotides) under soil metagenome. RNAcentral describes it as "partial contains 5.8S ribosomal RNA, internal transcribed spacer 2, and large subunit ribosomal RNA". The stretch from base 1 to 120 matches the Rfam family "5.8S ribosomal RNA", at positions 35 to 154 of the family's 154-position model. The record is from RNAcentral.